RNAcentral lists this ribosomal RNA (1028 nucleotides) under Kitasatospora sp. MBT63. RNAcentral describes it as "bacterial LSU rRNA". It matches the Rfam family "Bacterial large subunit ribosomal RNA", at positions 1898 to 2925 of the family's 2925-position model. The record is from RNAcentral. Lineage: Bacteria; Bacillati; Actinomycetota; Actinomycetes; Kitasatosporales; Streptomycetaceae.
GGCGAAGCUGAGAACUUAAGCGCCAGUAAACGGCGGUGGUAACUAUAACCAUCCUAAGGUAGCGAAAUUCCUUGUCGGGUAAGUUCCGACCUGCACGAAUGGCGUAACGACUUCUCGACUGUCUCAACCAUAGGCCCGGUGAAAUUGCAUUACGAGUAAAGAUGCUCGUUUCGCGCAGCAGGACGGAAAGACCCCGGGACCUUUACUAUAGCUUGAUAUUGGUGUUCGGUUCGGCUUGUGUAGGAUAGGUGGGAGACUUUGAAGCAGCAACGCCAGUUGUUGUGGAGUCGUCGUUGAAAUACCACUCUGGUCGUGCUGGAUGUCUAACCUGGGUCCGUGAUCCGGAUCAGGGACAGUGUCUGGUGGGUAGUUUAACUGGGGCGGUUGCCUCCUAAAGAGUAACGGAGGCGCCCAAAGGUUCCCUCAGCCUGGUUGGCAAUCAGGUGUUGAGUGUAAGUGCACAAGGGAGCUUGACUGUGAGACUGACGGGUCGAGCAGGGACGAAAGUCGGGACUAGUGAUCCGGCGGUGGCUUGUGGAAGCGCCGUCGCUCAACGGAUAAAAGGUACCCCGGGGAUAACAGGCUGAUCUUCCCCAAGAGUCCAUAUCGACGGGAUGGUUUGGCACCUCGAUGUCGGCUCGUCGCAUCCUGGGGCUGGAGUAGGUCCCAAGGGUUGGGCUGUUCGCCCAUUAAAGCGGUACGCGAGCUGGGUUUAGAACGUCGUGAGACAGUUCGGUCCCUAUCCGCUGUGCGCGUAGGAAUAUUGAGAAGGGCUGUCCCUAGUACGAGAGGACCGGGACGGACGAACCUCUGGUGUGCCAGUUGUCCUGCCAAGGGCAUGGCUGGUUGGCUACGUUCGGGAGGGAUAACCGCUGAAAGCAUCUAAGCGGGAAGCCUGCUUCGAGAUGAGUAUUCCCACCUCCUUGAGAGGGUAAGGCUCCCAGUAGACGACUGGGUUGAUAGGCCGGAUAUGGAAGCCUCGUGAGGGGUGGAGUUGACCGGUACUAAUAGGCCGAGGGCUUGUCCUC